RNAcentral lists this ribosomal RNA (252 nucleotides) under uncultured bacterium. RNAcentral describes it as "partial 16S ribosomal RNA". It matches the Rfam family "Bacterial small subunit ribosomal RNA", at positions 525 to 776 of the family's 1533-position model. The record is from RNAcentral.
ACGAAGGGGGCUAGCGUUGCUCGGAAUUACUGGGCGUAAAGGGAGCGUAGGCGGAUAGUUUAGUCAGAGGUGAAAGCCCAGGGCUCAACCUUGGAAUUGCCUUUGAUACUGGCUAUCUUGAGUAUGGGAGAGGUAUGCGGAACUCCGAGUGUAGAGGUGAAAUUCGUAGAUAUUCGGAAGAACACCAGUGGCGAAGGCGGCAUACUGGCCCAUUACUGACGCUGAGGCUCGAAAGCGUGGGGAGCAAACAGG